This 497-nucleotide ribosomal RNA is filed under the name uncultured bacterium. RNAcentral describes it as "partial 16S ribosomal RNA". It matches the Rfam family "Bacterial small subunit ribosomal RNA", at positions 28 to 507 of the family's 1533-position model. The record is from RNAcentral.
GAUGAACGCUGGCGGCGUGCCUAAUACAUGCAAGUCGAGCGAACAGACGAGGAGCUUGCUCCUCUGACGUUAGCGGCGGACGGGUGAGUAACACGUGGAUAACCUACCUAUAAGACUGGGAUAACUUCGGGAAACCGGAGCUAAUACCGGAUAAUAUAUUGAACCGCAUGGUUCAAUAGUGAAAGACGGUUUUGCUGUCACUUAUAGAUGGAUCCGCGCCGCAUUAGCUAGUUGGUAAGGUAACGGCUCACCAAGGCAACGAUGCGUAGCCGACCUGAGAGGGUGAUCGGCCACACUGGAACUGAGACACGGUCCAGACUCCUACGGGAGGCAGCAGUAGGGAAUCUUCCGCAAUGGGCGAAAGCUUGACGGAGCAACGCCGCGUGAGUGAUGAAGGUCGUCGGAUCGUAAAACUCUGUUAUUAGGGAAGAACAAAUGUGUAAGUAACUAUGCACGUCUUGACGGUACCUAAUCAGAAAGCCACGGCUAACUACGUG